This is a non-coding RNA of Parelaphostrongylus tenuis, 74 nucleotides long. The record is from the annotation of a GenBank genome assembly. NCBI's taxonomy places the organism in Eukaryota, Metazoa, Nematoda, Chromadorea, Rhabditida, Metastrongylidae.
GACUCGGUGGUGUAGUGGUGGAGCACGCGACACCGGAUAGGAUAAAACGCGGAUUCGAUUCACGCCUGAGGCCA